ACUUGUUUCCCAACAAAAGUAAGCCCUAAAUGGAAAAUUGCCCCUAAUAAUUUCUCAGUGCUUUAUUAAACAGCUGCAUAGUGAAGAGCAUUUUGGGUAACUUGCGUGACAUUCCAUUUAAAUUCUUCCCCAAAUUAACAAGUGUGUUUACAUGGAGUGUUGAUGAAAACUGAUGUCAUUAUUCGCCAUUUAUCUGAAAUCCAACCCAUGUUUCCGUGCAGGUUGCUUUUUUCUAGCAGGGCUAGGUCAGAUGUGAAGAAUCCCUAGUGUUUUUGUCUCUGCCAGAAUUUGAACCAUGAGAACUCAGGGUUUUCAAUCCGCUCCAUUGACACCUAGGCAACACCCUUGGGUAGCGACGUCAAAGAAAUUAAUCGGUAGAAAUGAAUGGGAGAAGAGGCUCAAUGAUGUAAAUAUUAGAAAAGAAGAUACGAAUAGAUUGGUAAUGAAUUUUCUAGUUACAGAGGGUUAUGUAGAAGCUGCAGAGAAGUUCAGAAUGGAAUCUGGGACGGAUCCUGAUAUAGAUCUUGCUACCAUCUUGGACCGUAUGGCUGUUAAAAAGGCUGUGCAGUCUGGUAAUGUGGAGGAGGCAAUUGAGAAGGUUAAUGAUUUGAAUCCCGAGAUAUUAGAUACAAAUCCCCAACUCUCUUUCCAUCUACAACAGCAAAGGCUGAUAGAAUUGAUAAGGAAUGGAAAGAUUGAAGAAGCUCUGGAGUUUGCUCAAGAAGAACUGGCUCCACGGGGAGAAGAAAAUCAAGCCUUCUUAGAAGAUUUGGAGAAGACUGUUGCAUUACUAGCUUUCGAAGAUGUAUCUAAAUGCCCGGUUGGAGAUCUUCUAGAUGUAUCACAACGCCUAAAGACCGCAAGCGAGAUUAAUGCGGCUAUUCUCACCAGUCAAAGUCAUGAAAAGGAUCCGAAACUUCCAAGCCUAUUGAAGAUGUUGAUAUGGGCACAGAACCAGCUUGAUGAAAAAGCAUUUUACCCUCGCAUUACUAAUCUGUCAACUGCAUCACUUGAAAAUCCUGCUGUCUAAAAUACGAUCCAAGUUCCCUUCACGGUUGCAUCCCUGAAUAUGGCCAAGGCAAGAAGACCUUGUACUCUUGUUCUUUAAACCUUUUGUUUCUGGUUGAUUCAUUUUCAUCGAAAUUUAUGGUUUCGUAGGCAUAUGUAGAUUAACAGCAGGAUACCCGAUGUACACAGACCUAGCUGUCAAAUAUAACUCUGAAGUCACCAAUGAGGUCUAGCUUAAUGGAGAUGUUGAAACUAUUAUGCAAGAGACCAAUGAGGUCGAGGUUAAUGGAGAUGUUGAAACUAUUAUGCAGCUUCUUUUCAUUAUUUACUUGUUAAACAAAUUUGGUUGAUAAAUACAAGGCCCAUUUUUUGGGAAUGAUAUAUUUCAGCGAGGAAAGAGCCUUACUUUCCCAAGUUAGGUCAUUUUACUCCAA
Molecule: RNA transcript, 1442 nt
Organism: Capsicum annuum
Lineage: Eukaryota; Viridiplantae; Streptophyta; Magnoliopsida; Solanales; Solanaceae
Gene name: protein GID8 homolog
Exons: 8
Source: RefSeq, a predicted model, not a curated record